AAAAAGGGCUUGUGCCGUGCAUGGCACAUCGCGGUUCUCCUUUUGGGGGACUGCGGUGCGGAAUCGAUAUCAAGAGAUUUCGGAAGCAUAAUUUUUGCUAACGAGGCUGCUUGUGAUCUUUUGUCCGGGCGCCUCA
Molecule: small nuclear RNA, 136 nt
Organism: Spea bombifrons (plains spadefoot toad)
Lineage: Eukaryota; Metazoa; Chordata; Amphibia; Anura; Pelobatidae
Product: U11 spliceosomal RNA
Exons: 1
Source: RefSeq, a predicted model, not a curated record